Molecule: ribosomal RNA, 254 nt
Filed under: uncultured Bacteroidales bacterium
Lineage: Bacteria; Pseudomonadati; Bacteroidota; Bacteroidia; Bacteroidales
Description: partial 16S ribosomal RNA
Rfam family: Bacterial small subunit ribosomal RNA
Source: RNAcentral
UACGGGGGAUGCAAGCGUUAUCCGGAUUUAUUGGGUUUAAAGGGUGCGUAGGCUGUGAGGUAAGUCAGCGGUGAAAUGCCCCCGCUCAACGGGGUGAAGUGCCAUUGAUACUGCCUUGCUGGAAUGCGGAUGCCGUGGGAGGAAUGUGUGGUGUAGCGGUGAAAUGCAUAGAUAUCAGGAGGAACACCGGCGGCGAAGGCGGCCUGCUGGACUGAAACUGACGUUGAGGCUCGAAAGCGUGGGGAGCAAACAGG